Molecule: ribosomal RNA, 265 nt
Filed under: uncultured bacterium
Lineage: Bacteria
Description: partial 16S ribosomal RNA
Rfam family: Bacterial small subunit ribosomal RNA
Source: RNAcentral
GUCCACGCCAUAAAACGAUGAGAACUAGACGUUGAGAGGGUUAGCCUCCCAGUGUCGCAGCUAACGCGCUAAGUUCUCCGCCUGGGGAGUACGGCCGCAAGGUUGAAACUCAAAAGGAAUUGACGGGGACCCGCACAAGCGGUGGAGCAUGUGGUUUAAUUCGAUGCAACGCGAAGAACCUUACCUGGCCUUGACAUCCAUGGAAUUCUGCAGAGAUGUGGAAGUGCCUUCGGGAACCAUGAGACAGGUGCUGCAUGGCUGUCGU